Long non-coding RNA from Panonychus citri (citrus red mite), 612 nucleotides. RefSeq lists it as uncharacterized. NCBI's taxonomy places the organism in Eukaryota, Metazoa, Arthropoda, Arachnida, Trombidiformes, Tetranychidae. The transcript is spliced from 5 exons. The record is from RefSeq and is a predicted model, not a curated record.
UUCUGCUGGAAUUGUUUACAUUUGAUCAUCUUGUUAAUUUGUUUUCUUUUUCUAAUUUAUUGAUAUUAAUAUUAAUCUGGUCAUUGGUUAAAUUAUUAAUAUUCAUUUAGAAAUUUUAAUUUAUUUUGUGUUAACUUUGACCUUUCAACUGUUCCUUUAGGUGGAGUUUGUGAUCUCUUUCAGCAUUUGAUGUUCUCAAGCUUUGAUUUCAAUGGUUGAUAAUUUCGAUUCUCUAAAUAUGAUGAACACUCCUGGAAAUCAUUCUAUGAAAGUGAUUGAUGUUUGUCUCGAUUUGUAUCAAUUUAUUUCGAGCUUUGACUUGGUCCAAUCAGCUAACGUUUUAUGGUUUAAAAGGAAUCACAAUUGGUGACUGGCAUCAAGUAGCUUAAGGUAAAACUUGUACUGUUUGGAAGGGAACCAAUUAAGACAACCAAGAGCCGAUUCUAUGUUAACGAAUCCAUCUCCCUGAGACAGGAAUACAGUAAAUAUCAACUUCCGGAUGAAGAAAAGGAUCCAUAAUGUCUUUGGUGUCUAAAUACAUUUGAUAACCAUUUGGAUGAUUAAGAUGAGCAAAAUAUUCCUCCAUAUUGAAAGCGGUGUAAUCGGCUGUCG